RNAcentral lists this ribosomal RNA (240 nucleotides) under Clostridioides difficile. RNAcentral describes it as "partial 23S ribosomal RNA". It matches the Rfam family "Bacterial large subunit ribosomal RNA", at positions 1625 to 1876 of the family's 2925-position model. The record is from RNAcentral. Lineage: Bacteria; Bacillati; Bacillota; Clostridia; Peptostreptococcales; Peptostreptococcaceae.
AUCGAGGUUAAAGGUACCCGUACCGCAAACCGACACAGGUGGGUGAGGAGAGUAUCCUAAGGCCAGCGAGAGAACUGUUGUUAAGGAACUCGGCAAAAUGACCCCGUAACUUAGGGAUAAGGGGUGCCACCAUCAGGUGGCCGCAGAGAAUAGGCCCAAGCGACUGUUUACCAAAAACAUAGGUUUCUGCUAAGUCGCAAGACGAUGUAUAGGAGCUGACGCCUGCCCGGUGCUGGAAGG